RNAcentral lists this ribosomal RNA (453 nucleotides) under uncultured bacterium. Its description in RNAcentral is "bacterial SSU rRNA". It matches the Rfam family "Bacterial small subunit ribosomal RNA", at positions 340 to 786 of the family's 1533-position model. The record is from RNAcentral.
UACGGAAGGCAGCAGUGGGGAAUAUUGCACAAUGGGCGCAAGCCUGAUGCAGCCAUGCCGCGUGUAUGAAGAAGGCCUUCGGGUUGUAAAGUACUUUCAGUCGUGAGGAAGGUGUUAAGGUUAAUAACCUUAGCAAUUGACGUUAGCGACAGAAGAAGCACCGGCUAACUCCGUGCCAGCAGCCGCGGUAAUACGGAGGGUGCGAGCGUUAAUCGGAAUUACUGGGCGUAAAGGGCACGCAGGCGGUUAAUUAAGUUGGAUGUGAAAUCCCCGGGCUUAACCUGGGAAUGGCAUUCAGGACUGGUUAGCUAGAGUCUUGUAGAGGGGGUAGAAUUCCAUGUGUAGCGGUGAAAUGCGUAGAGAUGUGGAGGAAUACCGGUGGCGAAGGCGGCCCCUGGACAAAGACUGACGCUCAUGUGCGAAAGCGUGGGGAGCAAACAGGGAUUAGAUACC